ACCUGCCCUAUGAAAAUUUAAAUGGCCGCGAUAUUUUGAUCGUGCAAAGGUAGCAUAAUCAUUAGUUUCUUGAUUAGGAACUGGAAUGAAGGGUUGGACGAGGGAAUAACUGUCUCAAUUUAAUUUAAUUAGAAUUUUAUAUUUAAGUAAAAAAGCUUAAAUAUGUUUAAAAGACGAGAAGACCCUAUAGAGUUUUAUAUUUUAUAUUUUAUAAAAAAUUUAGUCUUUAAAUUUUUAUUUAUUUAUUAGAGUAUUUAGUUGGGGUGAUUGAAAAAUUUAAUAAACUUUUUUUAAAAUAUAUACAUUUAUAUAUGAUAGAUUGAUCCAUUAAUUAUGAUUAAAAGAUUAAAUUA
RNAcentral lists this ribosomal RNA (353 nucleotides) under Helictopleurus neuter. Its description in RNAcentral is "partial 16S ribosomal RNA". The stretch from base 1 to 160 matches the Rfam family "Archaeal large subunit ribosomal RNA", at positions 1949 to 2143 of the family's 2987-position model. Lineage: Eukaryota; Metazoa; Arthropoda; Insecta; Coleoptera; Scarabaeidae. The record is from RNAcentral.